This 468-nucleotide long non-coding RNA is filed under the name Lathyrus oleraceus (garden pea). Its description in RNAcentral is "Pisum sativum (pea) long non-coding RNA (PSAT_LNC014436)". The record is from RNAcentral. Lineage: Eukaryota; Viridiplantae; Streptophyta; Magnoliopsida; Fabales; Fabaceae.
AUAAAUGAUUAUGAUAGUGCCGAUAUCUAUGUUAAUCAUAUAGUAGAUGAACCUAUUGUUAUAAGAGAAGAUGAAGUAAAAGAGUAUGUUGAACUUGUACAUGAACCAUAAAUAUUGACUCAUAUGAUGAAGUCCAUGUAUAUGAGAGGAAAGAAGUCCUUAUUGAGGAGAGGGAAGAAAUCCAUGAUAAGCGGAGGGAAGAAGUCCAUAUUAAGGAGAUGAGAGAAGUUCAUGUUGAGCAAAAUGAAUAUGUUAUUAAGAAAGAUGAAGAUUUUGUGCAUGAUGAUAACGAUGAUUUUGGUGAUAGGGAAAUUAGUUACUUAGAAGAAGAUGAUUGAGAUAGGACACCAAGUACCUAGCCAUACAUUUAUGUAAGAUGACAAUUGUGCAAACCAAAUCUCUUCAAACCAAGAACCAACAACAAUAUAUGAUUUUGAAUAAAGGAAAGAUGUUGAAUCAUAUAACAUU